CUAGUUCAUCUAGUUCUAGUUCUAGUUGAUCCUAAUUUAUCUAAUUAGAGCUAGACCUAGUUCCUCUAAUUCUCAUAAUUAGAAGCAAAGUGUGGUUCUAAUAUCCUCCCUCUAAUGCUCUGGCGAUGAUUAGCUCCGAACGGCGAAGCGCUGCCGAAUCAGGAAGACCGUAAGCUUGCAACCAAGUAAAGAGGCCAUGCUUUCGAUCUUUCAUUUGAGGGUGCUUCGCAGGAUCGUCAUCAACAAUUCGAGGGACUCCAAGUAUGAUCUACAUUGACUCGUCUACUUCCGCUGCACUCUGAAGUCGGUGACUAUCAUGAUCCAAACCGUUUAUAUUUCUUCAUAUUGUUUCUGGGUGUUCUUAGGGUGAUUUUUUUGUUUUCUACUGUUUCCCAAUAGUUUCACCUUUGUAGGGAGAGCGUGGCCCCUGAGAGCUCAUCCUCUGCCACGUGGUAGUCAGAGGCGAAUAAAUCUGGACCAUGGGGCAACCCCCAGGUGAUCCCUGAGGAGAUCGCCCAACUUAUCAGCGGCAUGGAAGCCGCCGCCAGGUCCGGGCCUGGUUGUAGCCUGGCCAUGACGGGACCUCUAGCCGAUCUCCAAGUAGCUCCGCCUUUGGGUGGAGCCGGCGGCACGCCUGCUCCAGAGGUCGCACCUCCCCACGAGAGGUUUGUGAGGCUGGUGACUGGGGCCGCCACCACCUGCCCUUCUGACCCUGCAGCCCCCGCACCGUUGGUCGCUGCUGUGGUGGGCACGAAGGGUGUUCUUGGGUAGCUAAGCGUCACGCUAGAGGGGCUCGGAGGUCUUGCUGAGGCCAGCUGCCAGAGCGACGAGAGCCUGGAGAGCCAGGUCGUUGACCUGCACAAGCAGUUGGACACGCAACACCAGGAGAACACCCAUUUGUCAUUCGAAGUUGCAGCAACAUUGAUGCUCCAACAAGACCACCGUAGCAGUGUCAUUGAUGCAAUUGAUGGUGAGCAGCAUGACAUCAGGGUUGCAACAGUGUCGUUAAAGAUGUACUCCCUCCGUCCGAAAAUACUUGUCAUUGAAAUGGAUGUAUUUAGAUGUAUUUUAGUUCUAGAUACAUCCAUUUUCAUCAAUUUUGAUGACAAGUAUUUCCGGACGGAGGGAGUAACAACUAAUGGUGGCGAUGUCAGCCGCAAGAACAUCACCCAGCGAAGCGCAUCGGUCUAAAGAAUUGGCGAGGGCUCACUGCUUUCGGUGAAGCGCGACAACAUGAAGCGCCAGCAAGGCUUGCUGUUUACAGCGGCGGUAGUGGAGGCGAAGCCUUCUAUUCUACUGGUCCCAGUGGGUUGCGUAGCGGUGGAGGUAGCAGCAAGCGCCCUACAAAACAGUAGCGAGAGCCAGAGAAAAAAAGAAAGUUUGCACGAAGACGAGAAUGAGUGGAUGAAAGCUUUGUCCAGGGGAUAAGAUUUGGUGUGUGGGGGGGAGGGGAGGGCGAUGUGUGGGCCCAUGGGACAUGUGCCCCAACGCGAGCCAGCGAACGGGCCCACAUUAUUGGCCCACUGAUGCUCCGGCCGAUUAACAUACAAUCUACUCUGCUCUAGCAGAACACAUGGCUUCUGUGGGCGACUCUCAGCUUGCCAAG
Triticum aestivum (bread wheat) is the source of this 1606-nucleotide long non-coding RNA. RefSeq lists it as uncharacterized. The record is from RefSeq and is a predicted model, not a curated record. The transcript has 3 exons. NCBI's taxonomy places the organism in Eukaryota, Viridiplantae, Streptophyta, Magnoliopsida, Poales, Poaceae.